Molecule: non-coding RNA, 73 nt
Organism: Hesseltinella vesiculosa
Lineage: Eukaryota; Fungi; Mucoromycota; Mucoromycetes; Mucorales; Cunninghamellaceae
Source: the annotation of a GenBank genome assembly
GGCUUUGUGAUGUAAUCGGCUAGCAUGUCAGACUCUGAAUCUGUAUAUCCGAGUUCGAGUCUCGGCAAAGCCU